GCUAGGAUUGCCGAGUGGUCAAAGGCGCUGGAUUGCAAAUCCAGUAGCGUUAUGCUUUCGUGAGUUCGAAUCUCACUCCUAGCU
This 84-nucleotide transfer RNA is filed under the name Escherichia phage EcS1. It matches the Rfam family "tRNA". Rfam says of the family: Transfer RNA (tRNA) molecules are approximately 80 nucleotides in length. Their secondary structure includes four short double-helical elements and three loops (D, anti-codon, and T loops). The record is from Rfam by way of RNAcentral. Lineage: Duplodnaviria; Heunggongvirae; Uroviricota; Caudoviricetes; Pantevenvirales; Straboviridae.